CACAAUUAAUAUUUCAUUAAAACUUAAGAUAAUAAUAUUUAGCAUCCCUUACCUAACAAAUGACCAAACCGUUCUAGAAGACUUAAAACAACUCCAAACGUACAGAAAACCCAUAUACUCCUGUAAAUAACAAAAAAACAUGAUUAUGGUACCCUGUUUUGACUUUAUAAACAUAUAGUCUAAUAGAAAAUUGAAACAUCACAUGCAUUCACAACUGACUCGCAUGUAAAUGAAAACAAAACAAACAAAAAAAAAACAACAAAAAAACAACUUAUUAUAUAUGAGAAAUUGAUUGGUCUAAACUGAAAAGUUCAUUGCAUCAAUCUUACGGUCUC
RNAcentral lists this long non-coding RNA (335 nucleotides) under Vigna radiata. Its description in RNAcentral is "long non-coding RNA (VRAD_LNC007458)". The record is from RNAcentral. Lineage: Eukaryota; Viridiplantae; Streptophyta; Magnoliopsida; Fabales; Fabaceae.